GUACAGGCUAUGAAGGAGAGGAGUAAACUAAACCUGAUGCAUAGAGAGGAAGACCUUAGGCUGGAAGUCUUCUCAUCAAGGGUGGUUGAAGCAGCUCUAGAGCUUUAACUUCGAAAUAUUUUUAUAAUAGAUUAGAAGUUAACGAUUGGCACUCGUUAAAGUGCUUUAAAUGAGCGAUUACCUUUUGGUAAUAAUUAGGGUGGUACCGCGGGAUAGCUCUCGUCCCUAUA
This 230-nucleotide non-coding RNA is filed under the name Caminicella sporogenes. Its description in RNAcentral is "T-box sequence". It matches the Rfam family "T-box leader". Rfam says of the family: Uncharged tRNA acts as the effector for transcription antitermination of genes in the T-box leader family. T-boxes are found upstream of many aminoacyl-tRNA synthetase genes and some amino acid biosynthetic genes usually in Gram-positive bacteria. Lineage: Bacteria; Bacillati; Bacillota; Clostridia; Peptostreptococcales; Caminicellaceae. The record is from RNAcentral.